This 620-nucleotide ribosomal RNA is filed under the name Hepatozoon canis. Its description in RNAcentral is "bacterial SSU rRNA". It matches the Rfam family "Eukaryotic small subunit ribosomal RNA", at positions 203 to 811 of the family's 1831-position model. Lineage: Eukaryota; Apicomplexa; Hepatozoidae. The record is from RNAcentral.
GCAUUUAUUAGAUAAAAAGCCAGUUCAUGCUUUUACAGUAUGAAAAUUGGUGAUUUAUAAUAACUUAGCAAAUCGCAAAGUGAAAACAGGCGAUAAAUCAUUCAAGUUUCUGACCUAUCAGCUUUCGACGGUAUGGUAUUGGCUUACCGUGGCAGUGACGGUUAACGGGGGAUUAGGGUUCGAUUCCGGAGAGGGAGCCUGAGAAACGGCUACCACAUCUAAGGAAGGCAGCAGGCGCGCAAAUUACCCAAUUCUAACAGUUUGAGAGAGGUAGUAACAAGAAAUAACAAUACAAGGCAGUUAAAAUGCUUUGUAAUUGGAAUGAUAGAAAUUUAAACCCUUUUUAAAGUAUCAAUUGGAGGGCAAGUCUGGUGCCAGCAGCCGCGGUAAUUCCAGCUCCAAUAGCGUAUAUUAAAAUUGUUGCAGUUAAAAAGCUCGUAGUUGAAGUUCUGCUGAAAGUAACCGGUCUGCUUUUAAUAAAAGUGGUAUCUUGGUAUGUAUUUAGCAAUGAUGUCCUUUGAAGUGUUUUUUACUUUAUUGUAAUAAAGCAUAUUCAGGACUUUUACUUUGAGAAAAUUAGAGUGUUUCUAGCAGGCUGACGCUUUGAAUACUGCAGCAUG